Molecule: ribosomal RNA, 484 nt
Filed under: uncultured bacterium
Lineage: Bacteria
Description: partial 16S ribosomal RNA
Rfam family: Bacterial small subunit ribosomal RNA
Source: RNAcentral
AUUGAACGCUGGCGGCAGGCCUAACACAUGCAAGUCGAGCGGAUGAAGGGAGCUUGCUCCUGGAUUCAGCGGCGGACGGGUGUGUAAUGCCUAGGAAUCUGCCUGGUCGUGGGGGAUAACGUCCGGAAACGGGCGCUAAUACCGCAUACGUCCUGUGGUAGAAAGUGGGGGUUCUUCGGACCUCACGCUAUCAGAUGAGCCUAGGUCGGAUUAGCUAGUUGGUGGGGUAAAGGCCUACCAAGGCGACGAUCCGUAACUGGUCUGAGAGGAUGAUCAGUCACACUGGAACUGAGACACGGUCCAGACUCCUACGGGAGGCAGCAGUGGGGAAUAUUGGACGAUGGGCGAAAGCCUGAUCCAGCCAUGCCGCGUGUGUGAAGAAGGUCUUCGGAUUGUAAAGCACUUUAAGUUGGGAGGAAGGGCAGUAAGUUAAUACCUUGCUGUUUUGACGUUACCAACAGAAUAAGCACCGGCUAACUUCGUG